RNAcentral lists this small nucleolar RNA (65 nucleotides) under Euglena gracilis. Its description in RNAcentral is "Eg-m118 box C/D methylation-guide". The record is from RNAcentral. Lineage: Eukaryota; Euglenozoa; Euglenophyceae; Euglenales; Euglenaceae.
UUCAUGAUGUAGCUUUCAAACUAGAGUCUCUGACGAGGCGUGAUUACAGCAUGCAGCUCUGAUCU